UCCUCUAGGUGACAGGAUAAAGUGU
Molecule: non-coding RNA, 25 nt
Filed under: Rattus norvegicus (Norway rat)
Lineage: Eukaryota; Metazoa; Chordata; Mammalia; Rodentia; Muridae
Source: RNAcentral